CUCUCUCUCCUGUCCUUCCCCUACUGUCUCCAGUCCCCUACACAGACUGGAACAGUACUGUGAUGUUCUGGAGGAGCUGGGAGGGCUAAACCACUCCUAUGACUCCUUCCUCUCCGUCCUCAGACACGCCCAGCGCCACGGUGAGGACCUCCGGGCCAGCGACCUCAUCGUCGGGUUUCCGGUCCCGGUGGCGGAGCGUGAAGAGCUGGUGAGUCAGGUGUGUGGGAGGACCAGGAGGAAGAGGACCGGGGUGUGUUCCUCUAUCAACCCCUCAUCGUCUUCACCAAGCAGAAGAGCCUGGGACACACCACCUACAGCUUCAAACACAGCACCAAGGGUCAGAGUGGAGAGGAGAGGGCAGCCUGGACACAUGAUAUCACUCAGCUCCUUUGGACCCACACCAUACACAACACAG
Long non-coding RNA from Oncorhynchus nerka (sockeye salmon), 415 nucleotides. RefSeq lists it as uncharacterized. Lineage: Eukaryota; Metazoa; Chordata; Actinopteri; Salmoniformes; Salmonidae. The transcript has 3 exons. The record is from RefSeq and is a predicted model, not a curated record.